GACGAACGCUGGCGGCGUGCCUAACACAUGCAAGUCGAGCGGGGACUUGGGUGCUUGCACCUGGGUUCUAGCGGCGGACGGGUGAGUAACGCGUGAGCAACCUGCCUCAAACUGGGGGAUAACGCAUCGAAAGAUGUGCUAAUACCGCGUAAGACCACGCUACCACAUGGUAGAGGGGUCAAAGGAGCAAUCCGGUUUGAGAUGGGCUCGCGUCCGAUUAGCUAGUUGGCGGGAUAACAGCCCACCAAGGCGACGAUCGUUAGCCGGACUGAGAGGUUGAACGGCCACAUUGGGACUGAGACACGGCCCAGACUCCUACGGGAGGCAGCAGUGAGGAAUAUUGGGCAAUGGGCGCAAGCCUGACCCAGCAACGCCGCGUGAAGGAAGAAGGGCUUUCGGGGUUGUAAACUUCUUUUACCAGGGACGAAGAACGUGACGGUACCUGGAGAAAAAGCAACGGCUAACUACGUGCCAGCAGCCGCGGU
RNAcentral lists this ribosomal RNA (485 nucleotides) under uncultured bacterium. RNAcentral describes it as "bacterial SSU rRNA". It matches the Rfam family "Bacterial small subunit ribosomal RNA", at positions 28 to 521 of the family's 1533-position model. The record is from RNAcentral.